GACGAACCGUGCGAACGUUGUUCGGAAUCACUGGGCUUAAAGGGCGCGUAGGCGGGUGUGCAAGUCUGCGGUGAAAGCCUCCAGCUUAACUGGAGAAGUGCCGUGGAUACUGCUCAUCUCGAGGAGGGUAGGGGCAUCUGGAACGUUGGGUGGAGCGGUGAAAUGCGUUGAUAUCGGAAGGAACGCCGGUGGCGAAAGCGGUCCGCUGGGUCCCCACUGACGCUGAGGCGCGAAAGCCAGGGGAGCAAACGGG
This 253-nucleotide ribosomal RNA is filed under the name uncultured bacterium. RNAcentral describes it as "partial 16S ribosomal RNA". It matches the Rfam family "Bacterial small subunit ribosomal RNA", at positions 524 to 776 of the family's 1533-position model. The record is from RNAcentral.